UCUCAAGUCUUCUUGUCUUCUCCCUAUCCCAAAAAAGAAAGUCUUGUCUUCUCCAAAGCUCCCACUCCCAGCCAUGGAAAAGGAUGAGCCAGCCUGGAUCUACCGCAUAUGUGAGGAUCACCUCGAAGCUCCCCUCAGUCUCCUCUCCUACUUCGUGGUCCUCACUCACACACCUCGUGGUUGGGACUGCGCAUAGUUUGCUUGCGCGCAUGCCGCGUCGAUCUCCAGGGCCGUCAACGGGUAUCAGGGCCCUGAUAUCAGCUACGCGAGGGAGGAUGCGAGCUCGUCGUACUCGACGGCGCAGUUGCCGCCGGCUUCAAUUGAGGCAUUGAAGGAGUGGAUCUCGUUCCCCUUAGCUCCUGUAGGUUGUGGUUGUCGGGAUCCUGGGGUUGUUAUCCGUCCCCGAGUGCCGGGCCGGAGGCAUCGUAGUUGUCCCCAAGCGGGCACGCCGACGCAUCGUCUUCAUUUUUGAUAGUCGCAACCCGACUUCAGUGUCGCAUUCUUUCACCUGCAGGUGCAAAGGGAUUAGAAGAUGCUUAUGGGACAACUGUGAAUGUUGACGGGAAAUAGCUAUUUCAAAGUUUGAUUAAGAAAGUCACAGUAAUCAAAAUCUUAGGUGGAAAAUUAUAGAUGUCCAUGGACACUAAUGGCCAGGAACCAAUAUUUUAUUGUCGGAUGGUUAUUCUCCUUUCAUGUACGUUGCAUGUGACAAAAGAAUCAACUUGAUGAUGCUUAUGUAUAUUUUGGCAUCAAAUAUCAACUUCUAUGUGUGUUGUUAAUUGAUGAAUAGAACAAUUAUGGUAACAAAAAAAGAGUUGAAUAGCAAAAACAAAAGGCUGUG
Molecule: long non-coding RNA, 841 nt
Organism: Triticum dicoccoides
Lineage: Eukaryota; Viridiplantae; Streptophyta; Magnoliopsida; Poales; Poaceae
Exons: 2
Source: RefSeq, a predicted model, not a curated record